UCCAAAAGAUAAAAAUUAAGAACACAGUCCCUAAUGCAAUGCUAUGCGGUGGAUUCCAAACCCUAGAUCUAUCUACUUUGAUAAAUUUGAAUUCGUACUCAUAGAUUAAUUUAGUUAAAUCAAGUUAGCAAAUCCUUCUUCUUGAUUUAUUUUUAAAAGAAAAAUAACUUAUUCUUCAAUCCCUGUGGACCGACACCCGCAAUCACUAUCCUACAGGAUACGUGCUAUUGUGUGGUUUAUUUUCAAAAUUGAAAGAACCGAUCAAAGAGGAAGCUUGGACUUGAAUGUUUGACUUCCUUCAGCUGGGAACAAGGGGAGCUGGGAUGUUGGGAAUUAAUCCGGAAGAAGGUUGCUGGGUUCAUGCGGAUGGAAGGGAACGGAUGCAAGGCUGUUCCGCUAAAGAAGGGGAUGAUGUGGAGUUCGGGAGGAUGAAGCUGCUGGGAGAAAAUCUUUGGAUGAUGAUGGAUCACAACGAAAUGUAAGCUAGAUUCAUGGGAUGCUGGGAUUUGGAUUCAUCCCGUGGAUGAACUCUGUUCUGCUGGGAUGCAGGGGAUAAGGAUUAACUUGGAAGGAGUUUGGAAGUGAGACUUCAUAUGUGGUGGAUCCCGGAAUGGAUGCGGCUUUAGCUGGACUGGUUUUGUUCGUGGGACACGGGAGGAUGUGGAAGAGUCUGGAUUUGCUGGGAGGAGAGCUUUGGAUAUUGGGAGAUUUGGGAAUCCGGCUGGGAUCAGUCCGGAAGAUGGGAUAGGUUGGAUAGUUGGGA
RNAcentral lists this long non-coding RNA (763 nucleotides) under Phoenix dactylifera (date palm). Its description in RNAcentral is "long non-coding RNA (PDAC_LNC007342)". The record is from RNAcentral. Lineage: Eukaryota; Viridiplantae; Streptophyta; Magnoliopsida; Arecales; Arecaceae.